RNAcentral lists this ribosomal RNA (464 nucleotides) under uncultured bacterium. Its description in RNAcentral is "partial 16S ribosomal RNA". It matches the Rfam family "Bacterial small subunit ribosomal RNA", at positions 28 to 507 of the family's 1533-position model. The record is from RNAcentral.
GACGAACGCUGGCGGCGUGCUUAACACAUGCAAGUCGAACGGAAAGGCCCUGCUUGCCGGGUACUCGAGUGGCGAACGGGUGAGUAACACGUGGGUGAUCUGCCCUGCACUUCGGGAUAAGCCUGGGAAACUGGGUCUAAUACCGGAUAGGAGCCAUUCUUAGUGUGAUGGUUGGAAAGUUUUUUCGGUGUAGGAUGAGCUCGCGGCCUAUCAGCUUGUUGGUGGGGUAAUGGCCUACCAAGGCGGCGACGGGUAGCCGGCCUGAGAGGGUGGACGGCCACAUUGGGACUGAGAUACGGCCCAGACUCCUACGGGAGGCAGCAGUGGGGAAUAUUGCACAAUGGGCGCAAGCCUGAUGCAGCGACGCCGCGUGGGGGAUGACGGCCUUCGGGUUGUAAACUGCUUUCGCUAGGGACGAAGCUUUUGUGACGGUACCUAGAUAAGAAGCACCGGCUAACUACGUG